RNAcentral lists this ribosomal RNA (1318 nucleotides) under metagenome. Its description in RNAcentral is "bacterial LSU rRNA". It matches the Rfam family "Bacterial large subunit ribosomal RNA", at positions 1563 to 2925 of the family's 2925-position model. The record is from RNAcentral.
GGAUUGGGAGGGUUCUACGGAACCCGUUUGGUGAAUCUAGUGCCGAGAAAAGCCUUCUAUGUGUUGAAUUUCUAGUACCCGUACCCCAAACCGACACAGGUGGGUGGGUAGAGCAUACCUAGGGGCGCGUGAUAACUCUCUCUAAGGAACUCGGCAAAAUGGCCCUGUAACUUCGGGAUAAGGGGUGCCUGCGUGAGCAGGCCGCAGUGAAAUGGCUCUGGCGACUGUUUACCAAAAACACAGGUCUCUGCUAAGUCGUAAGACGAUGUAUAGGGGCUGACUCCUGCCCAGUGCCGGAAGGUUAAGGAAGUUGGUUAGCGCAAGCGAAGCUGGCGACCGAAGCCCCGGUGAACGGCGGCCGUAACUAUAACGGUCCUAAGGUAGCGAAAUUCCUUGUCGGGUAAGUUCCGACCCGCACGAAAGGAGUAACGAUCAGAGCGCUGUCUCGGAGAGAGACACGGCGAAAUAGGAUUGUCCGUGAAGAUACGGACUACCUGCACCCGGACAGAAAGACCCUAUGAAGCUUUACUGUAACUUGGAAUUGUGUUCGGACUUUGUCUGCGCAGAAUAGGUGGGAGGCUAUGAAACGUUCCUCGCGGGGAACUGGAGCCAUCGUUGAGAUACCACUCUGGCAGAGUCUGGAUUCUAACCUACGGGGACAGUUCCAGGUGGGCAGUUUGACUGGGGCGGUCGCCUCCUAAAAUGUAACGGAGGCGCGCAAAGGUUCCCUCAGGCUGGUUGGAAAUCAGCCAUAGAGUGUAAAAGCAUAAGGGAGCUUGACUGUGAGACCUACAAGUCGAGCAGGGACGAAAGUCGGCUUUAGUGAUCCGACGGCACUGAGUGGAAGGGCCGUCGCUCAACGGAUAAAAGUUACUCUAGGAUAACAGGCUGAUCUCCCCCAAGAGUUCACAUCGACGGGGAGGUUUGGCACCUCGAUGUCGGCUCGUCGCAACCUGGGGCGGUAGUACGUCCCAAGGGUUGGGCUGUUCGCCCAUUAAAGCGGCACGUGAGCUGGGUUCAGAACGUCGUGAGACAGUUCGGUCCAUAUCCGGUGUAGGCGUAGGAGCAUUGAAAGGAUCUCUCCUUAGUACGAGAGGACCGGGAGGGACGUACCUCUGGUGUACCUGUUAUCGUGCCAACGGUAAACGCAGGGUAGCCAUGUACGGAGUGGAUAACCGCUGAAAGCAUCUAAGUGGGAAGCCCACCUUAAGAUGAGUGCUCCCUUGAGGCCACGGGAAGACGACCCGUUUGGUAGGCGCUAGGUGGAAGUGCAGUAAUGCAUGCAGCCGAGGCGUACUAAUAGGCCGAUGGCUUGUCU